CUCCCUCAUCAUCACAUCCAUCUUUGUUUUUAUGCACUUGUUUCCACCUCUUUUUUCUUUUUUCAAAAAGAAUGAUGUUGGAUGAUGUAGGAAACACCGCUGAGAAAAUAUCACUUUUGUUGUUUCUCGUUUUCGAGUCAAGAAAUUAAGAGUUUGAGUUCCCAUAGCAACCUCCUCUUGACUUUGUGUUUACAUGCAAUGCAUAUAAUAAAACUCUUAACUGUAUGAAGCCGUGCCAAUGGGAGAAGCAAAGCUUUCUGCCUUGUUGGCUGAGGCGAAGACCUCCUGACUUUUCAGUGCCUCCUCUUCCCACUGUGCUUUUAGAUAACUGGGUAACUAGGGCAAGAAGUUGUGGAAAUUACUGCUGGAAGGUGAAAACAUGGAUUGUCUGCAGCAGUCAAAUCCUGCCAUACAUAGGUUCUUGUACAUGCCCACAAUAAGAAACAAAUUCUAACACUA
Molecule: long non-coding RNA, 459 nt
Organism: Anolis carolinensis (green anole)
Lineage: Eukaryota; Metazoa; Chordata; Lepidosauria; Squamata; Anolidae
Exons: 2
Source: RefSeq, a predicted model, not a curated record